UGUCCCCGUAGUUCAGUGGAUCAGAACGUCGGUUUCCUAAACCGAAGGUCGCAGGUUCGAGUCCUGCCGGGGACGU
Molecule: transfer RNA, 76 nt
Filed under: Virus Rctr197k
Lineage: Duplodnaviria; Heunggongvirae; Uroviricota; Caudoviricetes
Description: tRNA-Arg
Rfam family: tRNA
About the family: Transfer RNA (tRNA) molecules are approximately 80 nucleotides in length. Their secondary structure includes four short double-helical elements and three loops (D, anti-codon, and T loops).
Source: RNAcentral